GGUUAAGCGACUAAGCGUACACGGUGGAUGCCCUGGCAGUCAGAGGCGAUGAAGGACGUGCUAAUCUGCGAAAAGCGCCGGCGAGGUGAUAUGAACCCUUGACCCGGCGAUGUCCGAAUGGGGAAACCCAGUGUGUUCCGACACACUAUCGUUAACUGAAUACAUAGGUUAACGAGGCGAACCGGGGGAACUGAAACAUCUAAGUACCCCGAGGAAAAGAAAUCAACCGAGAUUCCCCCAGUAGCGGCGAGCGAACGGGGAGCAGCCCGGAGUCUGAAUCAGCUUGUGUGUUAGUGGAACGGUCUGGAAAGUCCGACGGUACAGGGUGAUAGUCCCGUACACGAAAACACACUUGCUGUGAACUCGAAGAGUAGGGCGGGACACGUGGUAUCCUGUCUGAAUAUGGGGGGACCAUCCUCCAAGGCUAAAUACUCCUGACUGACCGAUAGUGAACCAGUACCGUGAGGGAAAGGCGAAAAGAACCCCGGCGAGGGGAGUGAAAAAGAACCUGAAACCGUGUACGUACAAGCAGUGGGAGCACCUUCGGGUGUGACUGCGUACCUUUUGUAUAAUGGGUCAGCGACUUAUAUUCUGUAGCAAGGUUAACCGUAUAGGGGAGCCGAAGGGAAACCGAGUCUUAACUGGGCGUUAAGUUGCAGGGUAUAGACCCGAAACCCGGUGAUCUAGCCAUGGGCAGGUUGAAGGUUGGGUAACACUAACUGGAGGACCGAACCGACUAAUGUUGAAAAAUUAGCGGAUGACCUGUGGCUGGGGGUGAAAGGCCAAUCAAACCGGGAGAUAGCUGGUUCUCCCCGAAAGCUAUUUAGGUAGCGCCUCGUGAACUCAUCUUCGGGGGUAGAGCACUGUUUCGGCUAGGGGGCCAUCCCGGCUUACCAACCCGAUGCAAACUACGAAUACCGAAGAAUGUUAUCACGGGAGACACACGGCGGGUGCUAACGUCCGUCGUGAAGAGGGAAACAACCCAGACCGCCAGCUAAGGUCCCAAAGUCAUGGUUAAGUGGGAAACGAUGUGGGAAGGCACAGACAGCCAGGAUGUUGGCUUAGAAGCAGCCAUCAUUUAAAGAAAGCGUAAUAGCUCACUGGUCGAGUCGGCCUGCGCGGAAGAUGUAACGGGGCUAAACCAUGCACCGAAGCUGCGGCAGCGACGCUUAUGCGUUGUUGGGUAGGGGAGCGUUCUGUAAGCCGUUGAAGGUGUGCUGUGAGGCAUGCUGGAGGUAUCAGAAGUGCGAAUGCUGACAUAAGUAACGAUAAAGCGGGUGAAAAGCCCGCUCGCCGGAAGACCAAGGGUUCCUGUCCAACGUUAAUCGGGGCAGGGUGAGUCGACCCCUAAGGCGAGGCCGAAAGGCGUAGUCGAUGGGAAACAGGUUAAUAUUCCUGUACUUGGUGUUACUGCGAAGGGGGGACGGAGAAGGCUAUGUCAGCCGGGCGACGGUUGUCCCGGUUUAAGCAUGUAGGCGGAGGUUCCAGGUAAAUCCGGUACCUUUUAACGCUGAGGUGUGAUGACGAGGCACUACGGUGCUGAAGUGAUAAAUGCCCUGCUUCCAGGAAAAGCCUCUAAGCAUCAGGUAACACGAAAUCGUACCCCAAACCGACACAGGUGGUCAGGUAGAGAAUACCAAGGCGCUUGAGAGAACUCGGGUGAAGGAACUAGGCAAAAUGGUGCCGUAACUUCGGGAGAAGGCACGCUGAUAUGUAGGUGAAGCCCCUGCGGGCGGAGCUGAAAUCAGUCGAAGAUACCAGCUGGCUGCAACUGUUUAUUAAAAACACAGCACUGUGCAAACACGAAAGUGGACGUAUACGGUGUGACGCCUGCCCGGUGCCGGAAGGUUAAUUGAUGGGGUUAGCGGCAACGCGAAGCUCUUGAUCGAAGCCCCGGUAAACGGCGGCCGUAACUAUAACGGUCCUAAGGUAGCGAAAUUCCUUGUCGGGUAAGUUCCGACCUGCACGAAUGGCGUAAUGAUGGCCAGGCUGUCUCCACCCGAGACUCAGUGAAAUUGAACUCGCUGUGAAGAUGCAGUGUACCCGCGGCAAGACGGAAAGACCCCGUGAACCUUUACUAUAGCUUGACACUGAACACUGGUCCUUGAUGUGUAGGAUAGGUGGGAGGCUUUGAAGCGUGGACGCCAGUCUGCGUGGAGCCGCCCUUGAAAUACCACCCUUUAAUGGCUGGUGUUCUAACGUAGACCCGUGAUCCGGGUUGCGGACAGUGUCUGGUGGGUAGUUUGACUGGGGCGGUCUCCUCCCAAAGAGUAACGGAGGAGCACGAAGGUUGGCUAAUCCUGGUCGGACAUCAGGAGGUUAGUGCAAUGGCAUAAGCCAGCUUGACUGCGAGCGUGACGGCGCGAGCAGGUGCGAAAGCAGGUCAUAGUGAUCCGGUGGUUCUGAAUGGAAGGGCCAUCGCUCAACGGAUAAAAGGUACUCCGGGGAUAACAGGCUGAUACCGCCCAAGAGUUCAUAUCGACGGCGGUGUUUGGCACCUCGAUGUCGGCUCAUCACAUCCUGGGGCUGAAGUAGGUCCCAAGGGUAUGGCUGUUCGCCAUUUAAAGUGGUACGCGAGCUGGGUUUAGAACGUCGUGAGACAGUUCGGUCCCUAUCUGCCGUGGGCGCUGGAGAAUUGAGGGGGGCUGCUCCUAGUACGAGAGGACCGGAGUGGACGCAUCACUGGUGUUCGGGUUGUCAUGCCAAUGGCACUGCCCGGUAGCUAAAUGCGGAAGAGAUAAGUGCUGAAAGCAUCUAAGCACGAAACUUGCCCCGAGAUGAGUUCUCCCUGAGACCUUGAGUCUCCUGAAGGAACGUUGAAGACGACGACGUUGAUAGGUCGGGUGUGUAAGCGCAGCGAUGCGUUGAGCUAACCGAUACUAAUGAACCGUGAGGCUUAACCUU
Molecule: ribosomal RNA, 2904 nt
Filed under: Enterobacter hormaechei
Lineage: Bacteria; Pseudomonadati; Pseudomonadota; Gammaproteobacteria; Enterobacterales; Enterobacteriaceae
Description: 23S ribosomal RNA
Rfam family: Bacterial large subunit ribosomal RNA
Source: RNAcentral